AGUGAACGCUGGCGGUAGGCCUAACACAUGCAAGUCGAACGGCAGCACAGGAGAGCUUGCUCUCUGGGUGGCGAGUGGCGGACGGGUGAGGAAUACAUCGGAAUCUACUCUGUCGUGGGGGAUAACGUAGGGAAACUUACGCUAAUACCGCAUACGACCUACGGGUGAAAGCAGGGGACCUUCGGGCCUUGAGAGAGUGAAUGAGCCGAUGUCGGAUUAGCUAGUGAGCGGGGGAAAGGCCCCCAAAGGCGACGAUCCGUAGCGGGUCUGGGAGGAUGAUCAGCAACACUGGAACUGAGACACGGUCCAGACUCCUACGGGAGGCAGCAGUGGGGAAUAUUGGACAAUGGGCGCAAGCCUGAUCCAGCCAUACCGCGUGGGUGAAGAAGGCCUUCGGGUUGUAAAGCCCUUUUGUUGGGAAAGAAAUCCAGCUGGCUAAUACCCGGUUGGGAUGACGGUACCCAAAGAAUAAGCACCGGCUAACUUCGUGCCAGCAGCCGCGGUAA
Molecule: ribosomal RNA, 506 nt
Filed under: uncultured bacterium
Lineage: Bacteria
Description: partial 16S ribosomal RNA
Rfam family: Bacterial small subunit ribosomal RNA
Source: RNAcentral